This is a long non-coding RNA of Daphnia pulicaria, 457 nucleotides long. RefSeq lists it as uncharacterized. The transcript has 3 exons. Lineage: Eukaryota; Metazoa; Arthropoda; Branchiopoda; Diplostraca; Daphniidae. The record is from RefSeq and is a predicted model, not a curated record.
CCUGGCACGAAAAAACGUUACGUGAGAGGCCAGUUACUUGGAAAGGGUAGGCUUACCAAAUGCUAUGAGCUCUCAGACAGCGCUACCAACCAGACAUUUGCUGGCAAAAUAGUUUCCAAGCAGCUUUCGCAAAAGCAGCAUCAGAAGGAUAAGAUGGCCCAGGAGAUUUCUAUUCAUCGCUUGCUGGUCCAUAUAAACAUUGUUGGAUUUCACAGCUUUUUUUGAGGACAGCAACUUUGUCUUCAUUGUUUUGGAGCUUUGAAAAAGAAGGAGUCUCAUGGAGUUGCAUAAAACAAGAAAAGCCAUCACAGAACCUGAAGCUCGCUUUUUCAUGCACCAACUUCUUCUUGGUGUUAAGCAUCUCCACGAAAAUAAGAUCAUUCACAGAAUGUUUAAACUGGAUAAUCUUUUCCUCAAUGAAGACAUGGAGCUGUAGAUUGGAGACUUUGGCCUUGCA